Molecule: transfer RNA, 74 nt
Filed under: Cordylochernes scorpioides
Lineage: Eukaryota; Metazoa; Arthropoda; Arachnida; Pseudoscorpiones; Chernetidae
Description: tRNA-Thr
Rfam family: tRNA (bases 6-69)
About the family: Transfer RNA (tRNA) molecules are approximately 80 nucleotides in length. Their secondary structure includes four short double-helical elements and three loops (D, anti-codon, and T loops).
Source: RNAcentral
GUCCAGGGUAGCCUAGUGGUCAUGGCAUCUGCCCUGUAAGCGGAAGGUCGUGGGUUCGAUUCCCAUCCCAUCCC